GAUGAACGCUGGCGGCGUGCCUAAUACAUGCAAGUAGAACGCUGAAGGAAGGAGCUUGCUCUUUCCGGAUGAGUUGCGAACGGGUGAGUAACGCGUAGGUAACCUGCCUGGUAGCGGGGGAUAACUAUUGGAAACGAUAGCUAAUACCGCAUAACAGUAGAUGUUGCAUGAUAUCUACUUAAAAGGUGCAAUUGCACCACUACCAGAUGGACCUGCGUUGUAUUAGCUAGUUGGUGAGGUAACGGCUCACCAAGGCGACGAUACAUAGCCGACCUGAGAGGGUGAUCGGCCACACUGGGACGGGGACACGGCCCAGAAUCCUACGGGAGGCAGCAGUAGGGAAUCUUCGGCAAUGGACGGAAGGCUGACCGAGCAACGCCGCGUGAGUGAAGAAGGUUUUCGGAUCGUAAAGCUCUGUUGUAAGAGAAGAACGAGUGUGAGAGUGGAAAGUGCACACUGUGACGGUAUCUGACCAGAAAGGGACGGCUAACUACGUG
Molecule: ribosomal RNA, 497 nt
Filed under: uncultured bacterium
Lineage: Bacteria
Description: partial 16S ribosomal RNA
Rfam family: Bacterial small subunit ribosomal RNA
Source: RNAcentral